GACGAACGCUGGCGGCGUGCUUAACACAUGCAAGUCGAGCGGUAAGGCCCUUUCGGGGGUACACGAGCGGCGAACGGGUGAGUAACACGUGGGUGACCUGCCUUCAGCUCUGGGAUAAGCCUGGGAAACUGGGUCUAAUACUGGAUAUGACUCCACGGUGCAUGUCGUGGGGUGGAAAGCCUUGUGCGGCUGAGGAUGGGCCCGCGGCCUAUCAGCUUGUUGGUGGGGUGAGGCCUACCAAGGCGACGACGGGUAGCCGGCCUGAGAGGGCGACCGGCCACACUGGGACUGAGACACGGCCCAGACUCCUACGGGAGGCAGCAGUGGGGAAUCUUGCGCAAUGGGCGAAAGCCUGACGCAGCGACGCCGCGUGAGGGAUGACGGCCU
RNAcentral lists this ribosomal RNA (387 nucleotides) under uncultured bacterium. RNAcentral's name for it is "bacterial SSU rRNA". It matches the Rfam family "Bacterial small subunit ribosomal RNA", at positions 28 to 417 of the family's 1533-position model. The record is from RNAcentral.